AGAGUUUGAUCCUGGCUCAGGUGCCGAGCUAUACUGCAGUCGAACGAACUCUGGUAUUGAUUGGUGCUUGCAUCAUGAUUUACAUUUGAGUGAGUGGCGAACUGGUGAGUAACACGUGGGAAACCUGCCCAGAAGCGGGGGAUAACACCUGGAAACAGAUGCUAAUACCGCAUAACAACUUGGACCGCAUGGUCCGAGUUUGAAAGAUGGCUUCGGCUAUCACUUUUGGAUGGUCCCGCGGCGUAUUAGCUAGAUGGUGGGGUAACGGCUCACCAUGGCAAUGAUACGUAGCCGACCUGAGAGGGUAAUCGGCCACAUUGGGACUGAGACACGGCCCAAACUCCUACGGGAGGCAGCAGUAGGGAAUCUUCCACAAUGGACGAAAGUCUGAUGGAGCAACGCCGCGUGAGUGAAGAAGGGUUUCGGCUCGUAAAACUCUGUUGUUAAAGAAGAACAUAUCUGAGAGUAACUGUUCAGGUAUUGACGGUAUUUAACCAGAAAGCCACGGCUAACUACGUGCCAGCAGCCGCGGUAAUACGUAGGUGGCAAGCGUUGUCCGGAUUUAUUGGGCGUAAAGCGAGCGCAGGCGGUUUUUUAAGUCUGAUGUGAAAGCCUUCGGCUCAACCGAAGAAGUGCAUCGGAAACUGGGAAACUUGAGUGCAGAAUAGGACAGUGGAACUCCAUGUGUAGCGGUGAAAUGCGUAUAUAUAUGGAAGAACACCAGUGGCGAAGGCGGCUGUCUGGUCUGUAACUGACGCUGACGCUCGAAAGUAUGGGUAGCAAACAGGAUUAGAUACCCUGGUAGUCCAUACCGUACACGAUGAAUGCUAAGUGUUGGAGGGUUUCCGCCCUUCACUGCUGCAGCUAACGCAUUAAGUCAUUCCAGCCUGGGGAGUACUGCUGCAAGGCUGACAACUCACAUGUAAUUGACGAGGUGCCCGCACAGCUGUGCAGCAUGUAGCUUUCAAUUCGAAGCUACGCGAAGAACCUUACCUAGGUCUUGACAUACUAUGCUAGAUCU
This 1021-nucleotide ribosomal RNA is filed under the name Lactiplantibacillus plantarum. Its description in RNAcentral is "bacterial SSU rRNA". It matches the Rfam family "Bacterial small subunit ribosomal RNA", at positions 8 to 1001 of the family's 1533-position model. Lineage: Bacteria; Bacillati; Bacillota; Bacilli; Lactobacillales; Lactobacillaceae. The record is from RNAcentral.